Molecule: transfer RNA, 85 nt
Filed under: Burkholderiaceae bacterium
Lineage: Bacteria; Pseudomonadati; Pseudomonadota; Betaproteobacteria; Burkholderiales; Burkholderiaceae
Also listed under: 4 other names
Description: tRNA-Leu
Rfam family: tRNA
About the family: Transfer RNA (tRNA) molecules are approximately 80 nucleotides in length. Their secondary structure includes four short double-helical elements and three loops (D, anti-codon, and T loops). Further hydrogen bonds mediate the characteristic L-shaped molecular structure. tRNAs have two regions of fundamental functional importance: the anti-codon, which is responsible for specific mRNA codon recognition, and the 3' end, to which the tRNAs corresponding amino acid is attached (by aminoacyl-tRNA synthetases). tRNAs cope with the degeneracy of the genetic code in two manners: having more than one tRNA (with a specific anti-codon) for a particular amino acid; and 'wobble' base-pairing, i.e. permitting non-standard base-pairing at the 3rd anti-codon position.
Source: RNAcentral
GCGAGGGUUGCCGAGCCAGGUCAAAGGCGCGGGCUUGAGGGGUCCGUCUCGUAGGAGUUCUAGGGUUCAAAUCCCUUCCCUCGCA